This 643-nucleotide ribosomal RNA is filed under the name uncultured bacterium. RNAcentral describes it as "bacterial SSU rRNA". The stretch from base 1 to 511 matches the Rfam family "Bacterial small subunit ribosomal RNA", at positions 338 to 873 of the family's 1533-position model. The record is from RNAcentral.
CCUACGGGAGGCAGCAGUGGGGAAUAUUGGACAAUGGGCGAAAGCCUGAUCCAGCAAUGCCGCGUGAGUGAUGAAGGCCUUCGGGUCGUAAAGCUCUUUUACCAGGGAUGAUAAUGACAGUACCUGGAGAAUAAGCUCCGGCUAACUCCGUGCCAGCAGCCGCGGUAAUACGGAGGGAGCUAGCGUUGUUCGGAAUUACUGGGCGUAAAGAGUACGUAGGCGGUUAUUCAAGUCAGAGGUGAAAGCCCGGGGCUCAACCCCGGAACUGCCUUUGAAACUAGAUAACUAGAGUCUUGGAGAGGUUAGUGGAAUUCCGAGUGUAGAGGUGAAAUUCGUAGAUAUUCGGAAGAACACCAGUGGCGAAGGCGACUAACUGGACAAGUACUGACGCUGAGGUACGAAAGCGUGGGGAGCAAACAGGAUUAGAUACCCUGGUAGUCCACGCCGUAAACGACUAGAUAACUAGUUAGUUCGGUUCGUACUUAGGUUGUACGUAGUAGUAGACGACGACGACGUAACGUACACUUAAGUUAAUUACCGUCCGUCGGGUAGGUACGGUCGGUCGAAGAAGUUAAAACGUUAAAAGUUAAGUAAGUUAGUACGGCGUGUAGACGUUAGCGAACGACGACGACGAGGGAGGAGG